GCUUAACACAUGCAAGUCGAGGGGCAGCAUGAACAUAGCUUGCUAUGUUUGAUGGCGACCGGCGCACGGGUGCGUAACACGUAUCCAAUCUGCCCGUUACUCGGGGAUAGCCUUCUGAAAGGAAGAUUAAUACCCGAUGGCAUGUAUUUCCGGCAUCGGAGAUACAUUAAAGAUUUAUCGGUAACGGAUGAGGAUGCGUACGAUUAGAUAGUAGGCGGGGUAACGGCCCACCUAGUCUACGAUGUCUAGGGGUUCUGAGAGGAAGGUCCCCCACACUGGAACUGAGACACGGUCCAGACUCCUACGGGAGGCAGCAGUGAGGAAUAUUGGUCAAUGGUCGGAAGACUGAACCAGCCAAGUAGCGUGAAGGAUGAAGGUUCUAUGGAUUGUAAACUUCUUUUAUACGGGAAUAAAACCUCCCACGUGUGGGAGCUUGUAUGUACCGUAUGAAUAAGCAUCGGCUAACUCCGUGCCAGCAGCCGCGGUAAUACGGAGGAUGCGAGCGUUAUCCGGAUUUAUUGGGUUUAAAGGGAGCGUAGACGGGAGAUUAAGUCAGUUGUGAAAGGCUGCGGCUCAACCGCAGCACUGCAGUUGAUACUGGUUUCCUUGAGUGCGGUUGAGGUGUAUGGAAUUCGUGGUGUAGCGGUGAAAUGCUUAGAUAUCACGAA
Molecule: ribosomal RNA, 668 nt
Filed under: uncultured Bacteroidota bacterium
Lineage: Bacteria; Pseudomonadati; Bacteroidota
Description: bacterial SSU rRNA
Rfam family: Bacterial small subunit ribosomal RNA
Source: RNAcentral